This 398-nucleotide ribosomal RNA is filed under the name uncultured bacterium. Its description in RNAcentral is "partial 16S ribosomal RNA". It matches the Rfam family "Bacterial small subunit ribosomal RNA", at positions 523 to 918 of the family's 1533-position model. The record is from RNAcentral.
AUACGUAGGGUGCGAGCGUUGUCCGGAAUUACUGGGCGUAAAGAGCUCGUAGGUGGUUUGUCGCGUCGUCUGUGAAAUUCCAGGGCUUAACUCCGGGCGUGCAGGCGAUACGGGCAUAACUUGAGUACUGUAGGGGAGACUGGAAUUCCUGGUGUAGCGGUGAAAUGCGCAGAUAUCAGGAGGAACACCGGUGGCGAAGGCGGGUCUCUGGGCAGUAACUGACGCUGAGGAGCGAAAGCAUGGGUAGCGAACAGGAUUAGAUCCCCUGGUAGUCCAUGCCGUAAACGGUGGGCGCUAGGUGUAGGGGUCUUCCACGACUUCUGUGCCGUAGCUAACGCAUUAAGCGCCCCGCCUGGGGAGUACGGCCGCAAGGCUAAAACUCAAAUGAAUUGACGGGG